RNAcentral lists this non-coding RNA (30 nucleotides) under Rattus norvegicus (Norway rat). Lineage: Eukaryota; Metazoa; Chordata; Mammalia; Rodentia; Muridae. The record is from RNAcentral.
UUAUGAUCUUAAAGGUCAGCGAGGGCCAGC